GACGCAGGGGGCUAGCGUUGUUCGGAAUUACUGGGCGUAAAGCGCGUGUAGGCGGUUGCCAUAGUCAGGUGUGAAAGCCUUGAGCUCAACUCAAGAAAUGCACUUGAUACUGGGCGACUAGAGGACCGGAGAGGAUAGUGGAAUUCCCAGUGUAGUGGUGAAAUACGUAGAGAUUGGGAAGAACACCAGUGGCGAAGGCGGCUAUCUGGACGGUUUCUGACGCUGAGACGCGAAAGCGUGGGGAGCAAACAGG
Molecule: ribosomal RNA, 253 nt
Filed under: uncultured bacterium
Lineage: Bacteria
Description: partial 16S ribosomal RNA
Rfam family: Bacterial small subunit ribosomal RNA
Source: RNAcentral